Molecule: non-coding RNA, 154 nt
Organism: Marchantia polymorpha subsp. ruderalis
Lineage: Eukaryota; Viridiplantae; Streptophyta; Marchantiopsida; Marchantiales; Marchantiaceae
Source: the annotation of a GenBank genome assembly
CACGUGAGUAUUCAUUGACUCUGGGUCCCAGAGUCGGUCUUCUACUCUGGACUUAUGCCCCUACAGUACUCCCAGACUCUGACUCUGGGAGCAGGGGCAUAAGUGCAGAGCAGAAGACCGACUUCUUGAAUCUGUGAAUCUGUGAAUCUUCGUG